CCCUCUGGAAGCAAAAAGAGAAACGACUCCAAUCACCGUCUAUAUCUUAUUGCAUUGAGAGAUAGCAGGUGUUUAGGCUGCAGCUAUUGUCUGCCUUCCUCCCUGAGCUCACAUAACAAGGAUGAAAGAGUCUAAGGAACUUAGUUUCCCCAAACGCUCUUGCAUAGGAGGGCGGGGAAACUUCGGAAUCAAGGACUUAAAGAAAUGCAAUUGAGUCCCAACUCGCAAAGUGUGUCAGUCUCCAUGUGGUUCCGUCCUUCCGCCGUCACUGUCUAGUCUCAUCUAGUGUCGUUCUUCUGCUUUCUGUAGAUCUCUAGGAACUCAGGAUUCCCUGCCGCUUAGCCGUCGAGCUCCCGACCCCUCCGCAUCCCUAGCCGGGAAGGACUGAGAGCUGAGCUCCAAGGUCGUGGUCUGGUCCUCAGGGAUGAGGUCCCGGGUCCAGACUCUUUCCUUGGUCAGCAACUCCUGCUUAGAAGCUCCCCGCCCCGAAUGGAAUCGUGACCUGGCGCUAGGUCCCCCGCUGGGAGUGCCCGAGGCUUUCCUGAAGGCCCCAGGCCUUCAGGCCGCCAGGGUCCUAAGGUGCCUGUGGCGGCCCCUCGUCCGCCUGAGCCCUGAGAUCAGCGCGGCCCUCGGUGCUGCAGGGCCCCAGGGCGGCCAGGAAACACCUGCCCGAAGUCCAGGCCCGGCCCCACUGCAGUCCAGGACCCUAAUUCUCGAGUGUCUCUUCACGACCCUGACCCCGGAAGGGCGCUCCCUUGCGAACGAAUUUUUAAUUCUGCGGACUGGGAUCCCUUGUAGGGGCCCCUCCGAGGGCCCCUCCCACCCCUUUCCCUGGACUAGCGAACUCCGACCCUAAGCGCGGCCCCGCAGGGAGCGGAUCCCGGAAGCUAGGCCCAUAUCCGGCCGCGGAGCCUUGCGCGCGGGGUUGGCUGCCGGGAGGUCGACGCUAGUGCGGUCCCCCGCGCGGCGGAGGGGCCCGGGCCGCGGUAUCUGCGCACUGAGACGUCGGCGGAAGGCUAGAGGCCGUGCUCUCGCCCCCGCAGAAGGCCACCACUCCUUGAGAAGGCCGGAGGGACAAAGCACCGGGCCUGCGCCGGGGGCAUUCAAGAAGGAAGCCAGGCCCGACCGGGGGUGGCGCACGCUUCCCGAACCCCAGGCCCACGGCCCGGUUCCGCGCGGGCAGUUGGCGCCCCCUCGGGUCGGCACAGCAGACCUCUUAGUAAUGGUCCCCAGGGAGUACAGGGACUGAGAAACGGAAAUACUACCAUCCUCCAGCCAAUCUGUUGGGAGGACUGCUUGCAGAGGACUCGUGCUCCAGAUGUUGCACUAGAGGCGCUGCAAGUGUGAGCAGCAGGUAGAUGAAACUCAAGAGAAAAGGUGUGGAUAAAUGAAACUAGCCCAUGAUGAACCUGUUUUCUCCGUGACCACAAUAUUAACCAGGAUGAAUGGCGGUGGCAGUGGGCCUGCAUCACAGGUUGCAGCAGAUGUUCUCAAUAUUUCUAUUAAAAUUUCCUUAUUUCCAUAUGCAAGAGGAGCCCCAGAGCUGCAUCCUUAUGGUAGCUACCAUGCCGUGAUGUAAGCUGCCAUUCACUGGGGAGCUUUGGCAAUAGAAUUGGCUAGAUCAGGAAGCCUAUGUCAACUAUGGAACAACAACUUGCAGCUCAUCUCUAUUG
RNAcentral lists this long non-coding RNA (1673 nucleotides) under Homo sapiens (human). RNAcentral's name for it is "non-protein coding NR2F1-AS1:30". Lineage: Eukaryota; Metazoa; Chordata; Mammalia; Primates; Hominidae. The record is from RNAcentral.